CCUACGGGAGGCAGCAGUGGGGAAUAUUGCACAAUGGAGGCAACUCUGAUGCAGCGAUGCCGCGUGCGUGAAGAAGGAUCUCGGUAUGUAAAGCUCUAUCAGCAGGGAAGAAAAUGACGGUACCUGUUUAAGAAGCCCCGGCUAACUACGUGCCAGCAGCCGCGGUAAUACGUAGGGGGCAAGCGUUAUCCGGAUUUACUGGGUGUAAAGGGGGUGUAGACGGCAGCACAAGUCUGUAGUGAAAUGCCGGGGCUUAACCCCGGAACUGCUUUGGAAACUGUGCAGCUAGAGUGCAGGAGAGGUAAGCGGAAUUCCUAGUGUAGCGGUGAAAUGCGUAGAUAUUAGGAGGAACACCAGUGGCGAAGGCGGCUUACUGGACGGUAACUGACGGUGAGGCUCGAAAGCGUGGGGAGCAAACAGGAUUAGAUACUCCAGUAGUC
Molecule: ribosomal RNA, 440 nt
Filed under: uncultured bacterium
Lineage: Bacteria
Description: partial 16S ribosomal RNA
Rfam family: Bacterial small subunit ribosomal RNA
Source: RNAcentral